RNAcentral lists this unclassified non-coding RNA (195 nucleotides) under rhizosphere metagenome. Its description in RNAcentral is "partial ribosomal RNA internal transcribed spacer region". The record is from RNAcentral.
GUAGGUGAACCUGCGGAAGGAUCAUUAAUGAUGCCCUCGAAGUCUUUGGACUGGUAGAGUUUGUGUCGGUCUCUCCGGAGCCGACCUUAUCUCACACACCGUGAACUGUGGCUUCGGCCAUUUACACAAACUGUUAAUAAUGAAUGUAACAUCAUAACAAACAUAAAACUUUUAACAACGGAUCUCUUGGCUCUC